AAUAGAUACCCGGGUAGUCCACGCCCUAAACGAUGUCAACUGGUUGUCGGGGAAGCAAUUCCUUGGUAACGAAGCUAACGCGUGAAGUUGACCGCCUGGGGAGUACGGCCGCAAGGUUAAAACUCAAAGGAAUUGACGGGGACCCGCACAAGCGGUGGAUUAUGUGGAUUAAUUCGAUGCAACGCGAAAAACCUUACCUACCCUUGACAUGUACGGAACUUGGCAGAGAUGCCUUGGUGCCCGAAAGGGAGCCGUAACACAGGUGCUGCAUGGCUGUCGUCAGCUCGUGUCGUGAGAUGUUGGGUUAAGUCCCGCAACGAGCGCAACCCUUGUCAUUAGUUGCUACAUUCAGUUGGGCACUCUAAUGAGACUGCCGGUGACAAACCGGAGGAAGGUGGGGAUGACGUCAAGUCCUCAUGGCCCUUAUGGGUAGGGCUUCACACGUAAUACAAUGGCCGGUACAGAGGGCUGCCAACCCGGCGAGGGGGGAGCUAAUCCCAGAAAGCCGGUCGUAGUCCGGAUUGUUCUCUGCAACUCGAGAGCAUG
Molecule: ribosomal RNA, 546 nt
Filed under: uncultured bacterium
Lineage: Bacteria
Description: bacterial SSU rRNA
Rfam family: Bacterial small subunit ribosomal RNA
Source: RNAcentral